GGCCUGCUGGCCCAAUGGUCAAGGCGUCUGACUACGAUUGAAUCAUCAGCGCAUCAGGAGAUUCCAGGUUCGAGUCCUGGGUAGGUCA
Leucosporidium creatinivorum is the source of this 88-nucleotide transfer RNA. It matches the Rfam family "tRNA". From Rfam's summary of the family: Transfer RNA (tRNA) molecules are approximately 80 nucleotides in length. Their secondary structure includes four short double-helical elements and three loops (D, anti-codon, and T loops). The record is from Rfam. Lineage: Eukaryota; Fungi; Basidiomycota; Microbotryomycetes; Leucosporidiales; Leucosporidiaceae.